CUUCCCGCGUGGGCCCCGGUUCCUGAGGCGCUGGCUCCCGGGUGCCCCCCUCCGGGAGCUGGCGGUGGGAACCUUCGAUGGGCCCCCAACCUCGAAGUCUCCGCCACCUUUCCCGAGUGGGGGGCGCAGGAUGCCCGACCCAAAGCCAACCCCCCACCGCCGCUCGAAUCGCCAAUGUGACCUCUGCUGUGACCUCUGUCCCAGUUCAACGAUCACCCAACCUCCCUUAACAAAAAAAAAGUGUUUCCUCAUCACCAAAAAUACCAGCGUUGUCCCACUUUAGCCCUUGAGGCCACAAAUGCAGGAAUAGCUACACUCUUGAAGCAACUGUAACCAAGUUGGUAACAACGCAGGGGAAUUCUUCGGUAAAAUUCCUUCCUCUUACAAAAUCCAGCUCACCCUGCACAGUCAACCUAAUUGUCACCGAAUAUAGGAGAAUGGGGAAACUAGGAUUUGCGUGUUCAAGGGCGGACAAGCCAGUCCAAACAGGCAUUCCAGUCAUUGGGUGGGUGACAGCCAAAGAAGAUCCACCUGGUCACAUCCCAAUUUCCCCAGGGCAUCCGAAGCAGGUCUGAGCAGCCAAGGAUAACUACUUAGUCUCCUGCUAGAAAAUAUCUCAGUUGUUAUCCCCACUUUAUAGAUGGUCAACUUACUUUAUCUAUCUGAUGAUUGGCUCCUACAGCCAGUAAGUGGUGAAGCUGAGAUGUAAUUCCAAGGCUGCUGAUCUCCAAAGCCAGUUGUCUUUCCAAAUAUUAGAAUAUACUAGUGUCUGUGGUCUGUUAAAAAAAAUGAUGACAGUGCCUUUUUAAAUAAAAUUUAAAGCAUGUACAUGAAAAAUACUAAA
This 844-nucleotide long non-coding RNA is filed under the name Homo sapiens (human). RNAcentral's name for it is "HSALNT0365088". The record is from RNAcentral. Lineage: Eukaryota; Metazoa; Chordata; Mammalia; Primates; Hominidae.